AGUCGAGGGGCAGCAUAAUGGAUAGCAAUAUCUAUGGUGGCGACCGGCGCACGGGUGCGUAACGCGUAUGCAACCUACCUUUAACAGGGGGAUAACACUGAGAAAUUGGUACUAAUACCCCAUAAUAUCAUAGAAGGCAUCUUUUAUGGUUGAAAAUUCCGAUGGUUAGAGAUGGGCAUGCGUUGUAUUAGCUAGUUGGUGGGGUAACGGCUCACCAAGGCGACGAUACAUAGGGGGACUGAGAGGUUAACCCCCCACACUGGUACUGAGACACGGACCAGACUCCUACGGGAGGCAGCAGUGAGGAAUAUUGGUCAAUGGACGCAAGUCUGAACCAGCCAUGCCGCGUGCAGGAUGACGGCUCUAUGAGUUGUAAACUGCUUUUGUACGAGGGUAAACGCAGAUACGUGUAUCUGUCUGAAAGUAUCGUACGAAUAAGGAUCGGCUAACUCCGUGCCAGCAGCCGCGGUAAUACGGAGGAUUCAAGCGUUAUCCGGAUUUAUUGGGUUUAAAGGGUGCGUAGGCGGUUUGAUAAGUUAGAGGUGAAAUUUCGGGGCUCAACCCUGAACGUGCCUCUAAUACUGUUGAGCUAGAGAGUAGUUGCGGUAGGCGGAAUGUAUGGUGUAGCGGUGAAAUGCUUAGAGAUCAUACAGAACACCGAUUGCGAAGGCAGCUU
This 676-nucleotide ribosomal RNA is filed under the name uncultured bacterium. Its description in RNAcentral is "bacterial SSU rRNA". It matches the Rfam family "Bacterial small subunit ribosomal RNA", at positions 60 to 727 of the family's 1533-position model. The record is from RNAcentral.